Myzus persicae (green peach aphid) is the source of this 203-nucleotide long non-coding RNA. RefSeq lists it as uncharacterized. Lineage: Eukaryota; Metazoa; Arthropoda; Insecta; Hemiptera; Aphididae. The record is from RefSeq and is a predicted model, not a curated record. The transcript has 3 exons.
AUAAAAUUAUAAUAAAUAUAAGUAUAAAUUGUAUGUAAUAUGUACCAACUGGUUUAAAAUAAAUAUGUAUGUAAUCUUUAAUUAUAUUAAAUUAACUUUUUUAAACCCCGUCAAGACGGAAACCCCGUCAAGACGGAAAAAUGUCAUGGUCCCAUGCGAUUCCGUCUUAUCGAGGUUUUACUGUAUUAUUUACUUUUACAGUU